UUCCUCCACCUUGAGCCAUGCAGUGUGCAGUGCCCUGCCCAGAAUGGUGCCGAAUACUUAGUCUACAUGUAUUCGGCACCUUCUGGGUAGCGUAAUGCUCAACACGAACGCUGUUCUUGUUGGCCUUAUGACCGG
Equus caballus (horse) is the source of this 135-nucleotide non-coding RNA. NCBI's taxonomy places the organism in Eukaryota, Metazoa, Chordata, Mammalia, Perissodactyla, Equidae. The record is from RefSeq and is marked provisional.